Molecule: ribosomal RNA, 467 nt
Filed under: uncultured bacterium
Lineage: Bacteria
Description: partial 16S ribosomal RNA
Rfam family: Bacterial small subunit ribosomal RNA
Source: RNAcentral
GACGAACGCUGGCGGCGUGCUUAACACAUGCAAGUCGAACGGAAAGGCCCUGCUUUUGUGGGGUGCUCGAGUGGCGAACGGGUGAGUAACACGUGAGUAACCUGCCCUUGACUUUGGGAUAACUUCAGGAAACUGGGGCUAAUACCGGAUAGGAGCUCCUGCUGCAUGGUGGGGGUUGGAAAGUUUCGGCGGUUGGGGAUGGACUCGCGGCUUAUCAGCUUGUUGGUGGGGUAGUGGCUUACCAAGGCUUUGACGGGUAGCCGGCCUGAGAGGGUGACCGGCCACAUUGGGACUGAGAUACGGCCCAGACUCCUACGGGGGGCAGGAGUGGGGAAUAUUGCACAAUGGGCGGAAGCCUGAGGCAGCAACGCCGGGGGGGGGAUGACGGCCUUGGGGUUGUAAACCGCUUUCGCCGGGGACGAAGGGGGAGUGACGGUAAGGGGUAAAGAAGCACCGGCUAACUACGU